RNAcentral lists this ribosomal RNA (930 nucleotides) under uncultured bacterium. RNAcentral's name for it is "bacterial SSU rRNA". It matches the Rfam family "Bacterial small subunit ribosomal RNA", at positions 8 to 916 of the family's 1533-position model. The record is from RNAcentral.
AGAGUUUGAUCAUGGCUCAGGACGAACGCUGGCGGCGUGCUUAACACAUGCAAGUCGAACGGGGAGCGCAGCAAUGUGCUCCAAGUGGCGAACGGGUGAGUAACGCGUAGACAACCUACCUUCUAGAUGGGGACAACACCGCGAAAGUGGUGCUAAUACCGAAUGUUGUAACGGCAGUGCCUGCUGCUGUUACUAAAGGUGGCCUCUAUUCAUAAGCUACCGCUAGAAGACGGGUCUGCGUCUGAUUAGCUAGUAGGCGGGGUAAAAGCCCACCUAGGCGACGAUCAGUAGCCGGUCUGAGAGGAUGAACGGCCACACUGGGACUGAGACACGGCCCAGACUCCUACGGGAGGCAGCAGUGGGGAAUCUUCCGCAAUGGACGAAAGUCUGACGGAGCAACGCCGCGUGAGUGACGAAGGCCUUCGGGUUGUAAAGCUCUGUUGUCAGGGAAGAACACUCUUGAUGUGAACAAUGUGAAGAGAUGACGGUACCUGACGAGGAAGCCACGGCUAACUACGUGCCAGCAGCCGCGGUAAUACGUAGGUGGCGAGCGUUGUCCGGAAUUAUUGGGCGUAAAGCGCGCGCAGGCGGGAUAUUAAGUCUCAUUUAAAAGUGCGGGGCUCAACCCCGUGAUGGGUGAGAAACUAAUAUUCUUGAGUGCCGGAGAGGAAAGCGGAAUUCCCAGUGUAGCGGUGAAAUGCGUAGAUAUUGGGAGGAACACCAGUGGCGAAGGCGGCUUUCUGGACGGUGUCUGACGCUGAGGCGCGAAAGCCAGGGGAGCGAACGGGAUUAGAUACCCCGGUAGUCCUGGCGGUAAACGAUGGGUACUAGGUGGUAGGGGGUAUCGACCCCCCCUGUGCCGGAGUUAACGCAAUAAGUACCCCGCCUGGGGAGUACGGCCGCAAGGUUGAAACUCAAAUGAAUUGACGG